This is a non-coding RNA of Triticum urartu, 115 nucleotides long. NCBI's taxonomy places the organism in Eukaryota, Viridiplantae, Streptophyta, Magnoliopsida, Poales, Poaceae. The record is from Rfam.
UAUCUACUCCCUCCGUUCGGAAUUACUUGUCGCAGAAAUGGAUGUAUCUAGACGUAUUUUAGUUCUAGAUACAUCCAUAUCCGAGACAAGUAUUUUCGAACGGAGCGAAAAUGGC